Molecule: ribosomal RNA, 429 nt
Filed under: Verrucomicrobiota bacterium
Lineage: Bacteria; Pseudomonadati; Verrucomicrobiota
Description: Verrucomicrobia bacterium partial 16S ribosomal RNA
Rfam family: Bacterial small subunit ribosomal RNA
Source: RNAcentral
UAGGGAAUCUUCCGCAAUGGACGAAAGUCUGACGGAGCAACGCCGCGUGAGUGAAGAAGGAUUUCGGUUCGUAAAACUCUGUUGUUAGGGAAGAAAAAAUGUAUAGUAACUAUAUACAAAAGAGACGGUACCUAACCAGAAAGCCACGGCUAACUACGUGCCAGCAGCCGCGGUAAUACGUAGGUGGCAAGCGUUGUCCGGAAUUAUUGGGCGUAAAGCGCGCGCAGGUGGUUUAGAAAGUCUGAUGUGAAAGCCCACGGCUCAACCGUGGAGGGUCAUUGGAAACUAAUAAACUUGAGUGCAGGAGAGAAAAGUGGAAUUCCUAGUGUAGCGGUGAAAUGCGUAGAGAUUAGGAGGAACACCGGUGGCGAAGGCGACUUUCUGGACGAAAACUGACGCUGAGGCGCGAAAGCGUGGGGAGCAAACAGG